UUAAAUACAUAUUAGGGAAUUCCAUUGAUAUGGGAUGAGUUCUGGUAAGUUAUCAUUGAUAAUAGAUUUAGUUCUUUGCUGGCAGUAUCUCUAUGCUUUCCACAUAUCUUAUUUCUUGGAUAUUCUCUAAGGAUCUUAAUAAUACUACAUCAUCCCAAAAUAUAUUUAAACUACAUUCAUAUGCUUUUCUCCCUAAGGCUGUAGUGAGUUUGUCUUUAUUAAUAUCUUUUUUAUGUUCAUUUAUUCUACACCUCAAGGAUCUAACAGUACUGCCUAUAUAUGCAUGGUAUGUGUUAUCAUUAUUAUCUAAUAAAGGAAUUAAGUAUACACCUGCAGCAUCAUAUGGGGAAACCUUAGGUUUGUAAUUACAUAGUGAUCUAUAUAUGGUGUUGCGAUUGCUGUGGGGAAGGACAUAAUUGUCUUUUGAGGGCCUUAUCUAUGGGAUCAUAGAUAUUAUGAUAUGGAAUUGCACUUAAAUAUUUAAAUUGAUAACAAAAAUACAGUACUGUAGGCGGGGGAUUUUUGCUGUGGCGGGGCGCUUUCGGAUUGCAC
RNAcentral lists this long non-coding RNA (552 nucleotides) under Androctonus crassicauda. Lineage: Eukaryota; Metazoa; Arthropoda; Arachnida; Scorpiones; Buthidae. The record is from RNAcentral.